UCUCUUUCUGGGAUCAAUACACCUGUUGCUUAUUGGUCAGUGUCCCUGUGUCAGACACAGCACUCAGGGCACAGGUAACCCUAUCCCUGCUGUAAAUGUAAUAGUGUCCAGUCAGGGAUGCAUUCAGCAGGGGAAGGGGCACAAAAGUCACACUAUAGUUCGUAGCAACACUGAUGGGGUGCCACACCUGUAUCCUGUUCCGUCUUUGAUAUGGAAGCACCACGCAUAGCAUAUAUCUUGACUUUUGUAGGGUGGAUAGUGUUGGGUAUGAAACCCUGGCAGUCAGGACACAGACAGAGGGAUCCUGACAUCCAGAAUCCCAACACAUCGAGGUCCUGCGCUAUAUUCUUUUUUUCUUUUUGAGCCACACACAUUUGUUUGAAGAAAGAGUACAUCAGGAAAAGGUUACUGCUGCUCAAAGAGUUCAUAUGAAGUACCUGUUACAUUCUAUGCAGAUUGAAAUAGGAAUCCUCUUUGUCAUCUAAUACGGCGCCUGUGCCUUCUGACUCCGAGUGAGGGGAGGAUGCAGCCGUACCUGGGGCAGGAAAAGAGAAGGUUUGAAGAGAUACUGAAGGAUCGGUCACAGUAUUUGCAUCUGAAGCCAACAGACAAGAGUGAGUGAGACAACAUGAGAGACAUCAGAGCAGACUGCAUCAAACAUCCACAGCAAAUAUAACCACAUCCCAAUUGUUUCACCUUCGCCUGUAUCCUGCUUUUAAAAUAAUUCUUGGAUAAAUGUUAGAAAAUGUUUGUGGAAAUAACCAAGAAAAUGUUUCAUACCGAUAAGGUUGUUCUCCUGUGUGGGUGCGCAAAUGUCGAGUUAAGUUUGCCGAUCUUGGAAAGAUCUUUCCGCAGUACCUAAGGGAACAGAUGACAAAGAAAAACUUUUCUGUAUAUCUCUCUUUGCCUUUUCGAAGAAUGCUUUCCGGAAGGGCUGUUGGUGAACUUCGAAAAUUGAACAUUGAAGGAACAGACUGAAUAAGUUCAUUGGCUUCAGGUUUAAGAGCAUUAAAACUCUCCAACUUUUCUGCCAUGUUUUCUAUUGCUGACAUCUGAAAGAGAAAAUACAGAGUAUUAAAGCAACUGCAGAAUAUACAGUUAAUAGCUAAUAAACCAUACAAAUCUGAAAGGUUAGCAGCAGAAAAAUCAAAUAUGCAUUUCAUCAUUGGCUUGAAUAGUCCAUCAAAAGGAACCACAUACGUUUUAAAAUAAAUUAUAGAAAUCUGCCCAUUUUAUAGAAUCGUAGACUCGGUUAAAUCUGUGGUUAUAUCCAACAUAUAAUAAUCUAAUAGUAAAGUAAUAUAAUAACACAAUAGUAGAGCUGUACCACAGUAAUAUAAAAACCCUUCAAAAACACAACACCAAGUCUUUUGUAAUGAUAAAAUAUUUGUACUUUAUGACACACACAAUAAAAAACAUUGUGUGCAUUUCUACAAGGUAAUGUAACAUAUAUUUAAAACCAAAAGGCAAUAAAAAAGUUGAAAAGAAACUCAGACACCCAAUUAA
Molecule: long non-coding RNA, 1506 nt
Organism: Pseudophryne corroboree (corroboree frog)
Lineage: Eukaryota; Metazoa; Chordata; Amphibia; Anura; Myobatrachidae
Exons: 6
Source: RefSeq, a predicted model, not a curated record